This 446-nucleotide ribosomal RNA is filed under the name uncultured bacterium. RNAcentral's name for it is "bacterial SSU rRNA". It matches the Rfam family "Bacterial small subunit ribosomal RNA", at positions 329 to 792 of the family's 1533-position model. The record is from RNAcentral.
GUCCAGACUCCUACGGGAGGCAGCAGUGGGGAAUAUUGCACAAUGGGGGGAACCUUGAUGCAGCAACGCCGCGUGGGUGAAGAAGUACUCCGGUAUGUAAAGCCCUGUCAGCAGGGAAGAAAAUGACGGUACCUGACCAAGAAGCCCCGGCUAACUACGUGCCAGCAGCCGCGGUAAUACGUAGGGGGCAAGCGUUAUCCGGAUUUACUGGGCGUAAAGGGAGCGCAGGCGGCACGGCAAGUCUGAUGUGAAAACCCAGGGCUCAACUCUGGGACUGCAUUGGAAACUGCCGGGCUGGAGUGUCGGAGGGGUAAGCAGAAUUCCUAGUGUAGCGGUGAAAUGCGUAGAUAUGAGGAGGAACACCAGUGGCGAAGGCGGCUUACUGGACGACUACUGACGCUGAGGCUCGAAAGCGUGGGGAGCAAACAGGAUUAGAUACCCGAGUA